Molecule: ribosomal RNA, 422 nt
Filed under: uncultured bacterium
Lineage: Bacteria
Description: bacterial SSU rRNA
Rfam family: Bacterial small subunit ribosomal RNA
Source: RNAcentral
CAGGCCUAACACAUGCAAGUCGAACGAGAACGGGCUUUAGUUUACUAAAGUUGUCAGCUAAGUGGCGCACGGGUGAGUAAUAUAUAGGUAACGUGCCUCUUACAAAAGAAUAACAGUUGGAAACGACUGCUAAUGCUUUAUAUGCCUCUAUCACAUAAGUGAGCGAGAGAAAGUUUUUUCGGUAAGAGAUCGGCCUGUACGGUAUCAGCUUGUUGGUGAGGUAAUGGCUCACCAAGGCUAUGACAUCUAACUGGUUUGAGAGGAUGAUCAGUCACACUGGAACUGAGACACGGUCCAGACUCCUACGGGAGGCAGCAGUGGGGAAUAUUGCACAAUGGAGGAAACUCUGAUGCAGCAACGCCGCGUGGAGGAUGACACAUUUCGGUGCGUAAACUCCUUUUAUAUAAGAAGAUAAUGACGGU